RNAcentral lists this ribosomal RNA (510 nucleotides) under uncultured bacterium. Its description in RNAcentral is "partial 16S ribosomal RNA". It matches the Rfam family "Bacterial small subunit ribosomal RNA", at positions 28 to 507 of the family's 1533-position model. The record is from RNAcentral.
GACGAACGCUGGCGGCGUGCUUAACACAUGCAAGUCGAACGAAGAGCGAUGGAAGCUUGCUUCUAUCAAUCUUAGUGGCGAACGGGUGAGUAACGCGUAAUCAACCUGCCCUUCAGAGGGGGACAACAGUUGGAAACGACUGCUCAUACCGCAUACGAUCUAAUCUCGGCAUCGAGGAUAGAUGAAAGGUGGCCUCUACAUGUAAGCUAUCACUGAAGGAGGGGAUUGCGUCUGAUUAGCUAGUUGGAGGGGUAACGGCCCACCAAGGCGAUGAUCAGUAGCCGGUCUGAGAGGAUGAACGGCCACAUUGGGACUGAGACACGGCCCAGACUCCUACGGGAGGCAGCAGUGGGGAAUCUUCCGCAAUGGACGAAAGACUGACGGAGCAACGCCGCGUGAGUGAUGACGGCCGUCGGGUUGUAAAGCUCUGUUAAUCGGGACGAAAGGCCUUCUUGCGAAUAGGGAGAAGGAUUGACGGUACCGGAAGAGAAAGCCACGGCUAACUACGUG